CCUACGGGGGGCAGCAGUGGGGAAUAUUGCACAAUGGGGGAAACCCUGAUGCAGCGACGCCGCGUGAGUGAAGAAGUAUCUCGGUACGUAAAGCUCUAUCAGCAGGGAAGAAAAUGACGGUAUCUGACUAAGAAGCACCGGCUAACUACGUGCCAGCAGCCGCGGUAAUACGGAGGGGGCAAGCGUUAUCCGGAUUUACUGGGCGUAAAGGGCGCGUAGACGGCAGAACAAGUCUGGAGUGAAAUCCCGGGGCUUAACCCCAGAACUGCAUUGGAAACUGUUCGGCUGGAGUGCAGGAGGGGUAAGCGGAAUUCCUAGUGUAGCGGUAAAAUCCGUAGAGAUUAGGAGGAACACCGAUGGCGAAGGCGGCCUACUGGACUGUAACUGACGUUGAUGCUCGAAAGCGUGGGGAGCAAACAGGAUUAGAUACCCGAGUAGUC
RNAcentral lists this ribosomal RNA (440 nucleotides) under uncultured bacterium. Its description in RNAcentral is "partial 16S ribosomal RNA". It matches the Rfam family "Bacterial small subunit ribosomal RNA", at positions 338 to 795 of the family's 1533-position model. The record is from RNAcentral.